Molecule: long non-coding RNA, 580 nt
Filed under: Anas platyrhynchos platyrhynchos (common mallard)
Lineage: Eukaryota; Metazoa; Chordata; Aves; Anseriformes; Anatidae
Description: lncRNA (ENSAPLG00000022033.1)
Source: RNAcentral
CUGCUCUGUUGCUGAAGUGUGGAUCUUUCACAUAGUGGUGAGAAAUCAGUAGUUGAGUAGGGUAGCCAACUGGCAGCUACAUUUGCUGAGAGUAUUACUGUAGGGUUAUGGGGAAGGAGGAAAAGUGCCAAUGCAAACCUUCUACUUAAAUUUGAUCUCACAGCUGAGUUAACUUGAUUCAUAUCAAAGUAAGUCAGAAUUUUGUAUAUAUUGAGAAUUGCAACACAGAGAAAUACUUCCCCCAUUUCACAGUUUUGUUAUUUCUCUUACAGGGUUUCAGAAGGGAAACCAGCCAUUCCUGCACACUGGGCUUUGAAGGUGAGCUGCUUUGUAAAAGCUCCCUGCAGUGCUAUGUUGCUGAAGCCAACAGUUUGAAAAUUUACAGCAAGAGAAAACCACUCUGCAGAAAAUGUCCCUUUAGAGAUGGAAAUAAACCUCAUGUGGAGACAGUGGGAUAUAACCUGAAGACGGUAGGGAUAAAACUGUGAUUCUACCUUUAUUUCCAAUAGUGAUAUGAAAAAAAAAAAAGAAAAACAUAUCUGUACCUUGGAACUCUGAGCAUAUAAGUACACGGCGGAGC